Molecule: ribosomal RNA, 484 nt
Filed under: uncultured bacterium
Lineage: Bacteria
Description: partial 16S ribosomal RNA
Rfam family: Bacterial small subunit ribosomal RNA
Source: RNAcentral
AUUGAACGCUGGCGGCAUGCCUAACACAUGCAAGUCGAGCGGAUGAAGGGAGCUUGCUCCUGGAUUCAGCGGCGGACGGGUGAGUGAUGCCUAGGAAUCUGCCGGGUAGUGGUGUAUAACGUCCUGAAACGGGCGCUAAUACCACCUACUUCCUGCGGGAGCAGGAUGGUGAGCUUCGGACCGCACCCGAGCCUAGGAGCCUAGGUCGGAUUAGCUAGUUGGUGGGGUAAAUGCCUACCAAGGCGACGAUCCGUAACUGGUCUGAGAGGAUGAGCAGUCACACUGGAACUGAGACACGCUCCAGAGUCCUAAGGGAGGCAGCAGUGGGGAAUAUUGGACAAUGGGCGAAAGUCUGAUCCAGCCAUGGCGAGUGUGUGAAGAAGGUCUUCGGAUUGUAAAGAACUUUAAGUUGGGAGGAAGGGCAGUAAGUUAAUACCUUGCUGUUUUGACGUUAACAACAGAAUAAGCACCGGCUAACUUCGUG